RNAcentral lists this long non-coding RNA (251 nucleotides) under Gossypium barbadense (sea-island cotton). Its description in RNAcentral is "long non-coding RNA (GBAR_LNC002477)". The record is from RNAcentral. Lineage: Eukaryota; Viridiplantae; Streptophyta; Magnoliopsida; Malvales; Malvaceae.
CGAAUGUCUGCUCACCAGAUUCAUAGAAUUUCAUGUCUUUAUGAAUUUUGGAUAUCAUAGAAUUUUAAUCUCCACUAAUCGGAUUGAGAUCUGAGUUUCAUAUCAUGAUUUCUUUGGAAAGAAAGAAGAGGCUUGAAAUAAAAAGUAGCUGAUGGUUGAAUUGACAAAUAAUUAGACUGUGUGAAAUUAUAAAGAGUAUGAGGUUGAGAUGAACUGACUAGUUUUACUAUUCGAAUUCGAAAGGAUUCCGG